UACGAAGGGGGCGAGCGUUGUUCGGAAUUACUGGGCGUAAAGGGCGCGCAGGCGGCUCAGACAGUCAGAUGUGAAAGCCCCGGGCUUAACCUGGGAACUGCAUUUGAUACUACUGAGCUUGAGUACGGGAGAGGAUAGUGGAAUUCCCGGUGUAGCAGUGAAAUGCGUAGAGAUCGGGAGGAACACCAGUGGCGAAGGCGGCUACCUGGACCAGCAUUGACACUCAAGCACGAAAGCGUGGGGAGCAAACAGG
RNAcentral lists this ribosomal RNA (253 nucleotides) under uncultured bacterium. Its description in RNAcentral is "partial 16S ribosomal RNA". It matches the Rfam family "Bacterial small subunit ribosomal RNA", at positions 524 to 776 of the family's 1533-position model. The record is from RNAcentral.